Molecule: ribosomal RNA, 747 nt
Filed under: uncultured bacterium
Lineage: Bacteria
Description: bacterial SSU rRNA
Rfam family: Bacterial small subunit ribosomal RNA
Source: RNAcentral
CAGGGGGAUAACAGCCAAGAAAUGACUGCUAAUACCGCAUAAGACCACAGCACCGCAUGGUGCAGGGGUAAAAAACUCCGGUGGUACAGGAUGGACCCGCGUCUGAUUAGCUGGUUGGUGAGGUAACGGCUCACCAAGGCGACGAUCAGUAGCCGGCUUGAGAGAGUGAACGGCCACAUUGGGACUGAGACACGGCCCAAACUCCUACGGGAGGCAGCAGUGGGGAAUAUUGCACAAUGGGGGAAACCCUGAUGCAGCGACGCCGCGUGAGUGAAGAAGUAUCUCGGUAUGUAAAGCUCUAUCAGCAGGGAAGAAAAUGACGGUACCUGACUAAGAAGCCCCGGCUAACUACGUGCCAGCAGCCGCGGUAAUACGUAGGGGGCAAGCAAAUAUCCGGAAUUACUGAGUGUAAAGGGUGCGUAGGUGGUAUGGCAAGUCAGAAGUGAAAACCCAGGGCUUAACUCUGGGACUGCUUUUGAAACUGUCAGACUGGAGUGCAGGAGAGGUAAGCGGAAUUCCUAGUGUAGCGGUGAAAUGCGUAGAUAUUAGGAGGAACAUCAGUGGCGAAGGCGGCUUACUGGACUGAAACUGACACUGAGGCACGAAAGCGUGGGGAGCAAACAGGAUUAGAUACCCUGGGUAGUCCACGCCGUAAACGAUGAAUACUAGGUGUCGGGGCCGUAGAGGCUUCGGUGCCGCAGCCAAAGCAGUAAGCAUUCCACCUGGGGAGUACGUUCGCAAGAUUUA